Non-coding RNA from Aplosporella prunicola CBS 121167, 95 nucleotides. The record is from the annotation of a RefSeq genome assembly. Lineage: Eukaryota; Fungi; Ascomycota; Dothideomycetes; Botryosphaeriales; Aplosporellaceae.
UCCUCCGUGGCGCAAUUGGCUAGCGCGUCUGACUGUUAUGAAGACACUCGUUUAGGGCAAUCAGGAGGUUGACAGUUCAAGCCUGUCCGGGGGAG